RNAcentral lists this signal recognition particle RNA (298 nucleotides) under Nanobdellota archaeon. RNAcentral describes it as "signal recognition particle sRNA". It matches the Rfam family "Archaeal signal recognition particle RNA". Lineage: Archaea; Nanobdellati; Nanobdellota. The record is from RNAcentral.
GGGAAGACUAGACUGGGGAGUUAGCCCUUCCCUGUAACCAUAAACUGGGCUUUAGAUGGAGUCGAAGCUGAAGGAGCGGCUCAUGCUUUAAUUAUCAGUCUCGAGCCUGACGAUGAAACUCUGUCCAUUGGGAUUGAUGUUUUGGAGAAAUAGGUCAGGUCAGGAAUGAAAUAAGCCAAAAGCUUACAUUAGGCAGCCUUAACCCUUAACACCGGUGCUCAAGGGGUAGCGGAGUUGAGGAUGGUUUGAGGUCAAACUGGUGGUUAUUGCUUGUGUCCACCUUUUGGCGUGUCUUCCC